UUAAGUCGACCGCCUGGGGAGUACGGCCGCAAGGUUAAAACUCAAAUGAAUUGACGGGGGCCCGCACAAGCGGUGGAGCAUGUGGUUUAAUUCGAUGCAACGCGAAGAACCUUACCUGGUCUUGACAUCCACGGAAGUUUUCAGAGAUGAGAAUGUGCCUUCGGGAACCGUGAGACAGGUGCUGCAUGGCUGUCGUCAGCUCGUGUUGUGAAAUGUUGGGUUAAGUCCCGCAACGAGCGCAACCCUUAUCCUUUGUUGCCAGCGGUCCGGCCGGGAACUCAAAGGAGACUGCCAGUGAUAAACUGGAGGAAGGUGGGGAUGACGUCAAGUCAUCAUGGCCCUUACGACCAGGGCUACACACGUGCUACAAUGGCGCAUACAAAGAGAAGCGACCUCGCGAGAGCAAGCGGACCUCAUAAAGUGCGUCGUAGUCCGGAUUGGAGUCUGCAACUCGACUCCAUGAAGUCGGAAUCGCUAGUAAUCGUGGAUCAGAAUGCCACGGUGAAUACGUUCCCGGGCCUUGUACACACCGCCCGUCACACCAUGGGAGUGGGUUGCAAAAGAAGUAGGUAGCUUAACCUUCUGGAGGGCGCUUACCACUUUGUGAUUCAUGACUGGGGUGAAGUCGUAACAAGGUAACCGUAGGGGAACCUGCGGUUGGAUCACCUCCUUACCUUAAAGAAGC
Molecule: ribosomal RNA, 685 nt
Filed under: Shigella flexneri
Lineage: Bacteria; Pseudomonadati; Pseudomonadota; Gammaproteobacteria; Enterobacterales; Enterobacteriaceae
Description: bacterial SSU rRNA
Rfam family: Bacterial small subunit ribosomal RNA
Source: RNAcentral